This 480-nucleotide ribosomal RNA is filed under the name uncultured bacterium. RNAcentral describes it as "partial 16S ribosomal RNA". It matches the Rfam family "Bacterial small subunit ribosomal RNA", at positions 28 to 506 of the family's 1533-position model. The record is from RNAcentral.
GAUGAACGCUGGCGGCGUGCUUAACACAUGCAAGUCGAACGAAGCACUUUAUUUGAUUUCCUUCGGGACUGAUUAUUUUGUGACUGAGUGGCGGACGGGUGAGUAACGCGUGGGUAACCUGCCUUGUACAGGGGGAUAACAGUUGGAAACGGCUGCUAAUACCGCAUAAGCGCACAGCAUCGCAUGAUGCAGUGUGAAAAACUCCGGUGGUAUAAGAUGGACCCGCGUUGGAUUAGCUAGUUGGUGAGGUAACGACCCACCAAGGCGACGAUCCAUAGCCGACCUGAGAGGGUGACCGGCCACAUUGGGACUGAGACACGGCCCAAACUCCUACGGGAGGCAGCAGUGGGGAAUAUUGCACAAUGGGCGAAAGCCUGAUGCAGCGACGCCGCGUGAGCGAAGAAGUAUUUCGGUAUGUAAAGCUCUAUCAGCAGGGAAGAUAAUGACGGUACCUGACUAAGAAGCACCGGCUAAAUACGU